UAAGGAAUAUUGGGCAAUGGAGGCAACUCUGACCCAGCCAUCCCGCGUGAAGGAUUAAGGCCCUAUGGGUUGUAAACUUCUUUUGCUUGGGAAGAAAUCAGGACAUUUAUGUGCUGUUGACGGUACCUUGCGAAUAAGCACCGGCUAACUCCGUGCCAGCAGCCGCGGUAAUACGGAGGGUGCAAGCGUUAUCCGGAAUCACUGGGUUUAAAGGGUGCGUAGGCGGUUUGAUAAGUCAGAGGUGAAAGCUAGCAGCUUAACUGUUAAAUUGCCUUUGAUACUGUCAGACUUGAAUCAGGUUGAGGUAGGCGGAAUGUGACAUGUAGCGGUGAAAUGCAUAGAUAUGUCAUAGAACACCAAUUGCGUAGGCAGCUUGCUGGGCUUGAAUUGACGCUGAGGCACGAAAGCGUGGGGAUCAAACAGG
This 424-nucleotide ribosomal RNA is filed under the name uncultured Haliscomenobacter sp. Its description in RNAcentral is "bacterial SSU rRNA". It matches the Rfam family "Bacterial small subunit ribosomal RNA", at positions 355 to 776 of the family's 1533-position model. The record is from RNAcentral. Lineage: Bacteria; Pseudomonadati; Bacteroidota; Saprospiria; Saprospirales; Haliscomenobacteraceae.